Molecule: ribosomal RNA, 468 nt
Filed under: uncultured bacterium
Lineage: Bacteria
Description: partial 16S ribosomal RNA
Rfam family: Bacterial small subunit ribosomal RNA
Source: RNAcentral
GACGAACGCUGGCGGCGUGCUUAACACAUGCAAGUCGAACGGAAAGGCCCUGCUGUUGUGGGGUGCUCGAGUGGCGAACGGGUGAGUAACACGUGAGUAACCUGCCCUUGACUUUGGGAUAACUUCAGGAAACUGGGGCUAAUACCGGAUAGGAGCUCCUGCUGCAGGGUGGGGGUGGGAAAGUUUCGGCGGUUGGGGAUGGACUCGCGGCUGAUCAGCUUGUUGGUGGGGUAGUGGCUUACCAAGGCUUUGACGGGUAGUCGGCCUGAGAGGGUGACCGGCCACAUUAGGACUGAGAUACGGACCAGACUCCUACGGGAGGCAGCAGUGGGGAAUAUUGCACAAUGAGCGGAAGCCUGAUGCAGCAACGCCGCGUGCGGGAUGACGGCCUUCGGGUUGUAAACCGCUUUCGCCUGUGACGAAGCGUGAGUGACGGUAAUGGGUAAAGAAGCACCGGCUAACUACGUG